GGGACGAACGCUGGCGGCGUGCUUAACACAUGCAAGUCGAGCGGUGAGGCCUUUCGGGGUACACGAGCGGCGAACGGGUGAGUAACACGUGGGUGAUCUGCCCUGCACUUCGGGAUAAGCCUGGGAAACUGGGUCUAAUACCGGAUAUGACCUCAGGUUGCAUGACUUGGGGUGGAAAGAUUUAUCGGUGCAGGAUGGGCCCGCGGCCUAUCAGCUUGUUGGUGGGGUAAUGGCCUACCAAGGCGACGACGGGUAGCCGACCUGAGAGGGUGACCGGCCACACUGGGACUGAGACACGGCCCAGACUCCUACGGGAGGCAGCAGUGGGGAAUAUUGCACAAUGGGCGAAAGCCUGAUGCAGCGACGCCGCGUGAGGAUGACGGCCUCGGUGUAAACCUCUUCUAGCAGGACGAAGCGCAAGUGACGGUACCUGCAGAAGAAGACACCGGACUAACUAACGUGACCAGCAGCCGC
This 474-nucleotide ribosomal RNA is filed under the name uncultured soil bacterium. RNAcentral describes it as "bacterial SSU rRNA". It matches the Rfam family "Bacterial small subunit ribosomal RNA", at positions 27 to 518 of the family's 1533-position model. The record is from RNAcentral.